GCGACGCGCGGCCCUUCCGCCGGCCGCCGGGGCCGGGAGAACGCGGGCGCCGCUGCCCCUCCCCCACCGCGGGCGGCUGCCGGAAGAACGCGGGCUGCUGCCUGGAGACCGCGGGCGACGGCUGCGCCUUGCUCGCCUGAGCUCCUUCGCGAGCCGGGACUCGGGCGGCGCUGGGCGGCGGCCUCCUGCACUCCGUGAAGUUGAAUGAGCGUAACAAUCAAAGUGGCCGCCGCCGCGGCUCCUCAGCAGCCCGGAGGCUCAGCGCCUAGACGAGUUCGGGGCAGAAUGAGACCCGAGGUGGGAGGAGAACGGCGGGCCGAGGAUCGGGUCCUCCUCGCUCGAUUCGCCUCCUCCUGGGAUUGUGGUAGCCGGGUCCAAGGGAAGAGGACGGAGCGUUGGGACUGACCAUUUGGAGGAAGGUUGCCCGGGGAUCCUGUUAGUGCACCUGCCCCUUCUCCCCCGACCCCAAGACAUUUUUAACAUCACCUCAUCCCUCAAGUUCGGCUCUCUCAUUCUCCAGUAAAAAAGGCUAAACUGUUGGGUCUGAUAGGACCGCUGGACUGGAGAUGGCACAGGAGCAGUUGAGUAUAAUCACCAUUGAAAAAUGGACUGAAGAAAAACUUAAGGAAAAAGAAAAAGAUGGGCUGAACAUGGAAGAAGUUCACCUGUCAAGCAAAAUUAUCUGCUUCUACUUUUUUGCACAAUGAUAAAUAAGAUUUCCCAUACUAAUAAAAAAUACAUAAAUGUUGAA
Molecule: long non-coding RNA, 751 nt
Organism: Marmota monax (woodchuck)
Lineage: Eukaryota; Metazoa; Chordata; Mammalia; Rodentia; Sciuridae
Exons: 2
Source: RefSeq, a predicted model, not a curated record